This 465-nucleotide ribosomal RNA is filed under the name Vreelandella stevensii. RNAcentral's name for it is "partial 16S ribosomal RNA". It matches the Rfam family "Bacterial small subunit ribosomal RNA", at positions 338 to 795 of the family's 1533-position model. The record is from RNAcentral. Lineage: Bacteria; Pseudomonadati; Pseudomonadota; Gammaproteobacteria; Oceanospirillales; Halomonadaceae.
CCUACGGGAGGCUGCAGUGGGGAAUAUUGGACAAUGGGCGAAAGCCUGAUCCAGCCAUGCCGCGUGUGUGAAGAAGGCCUUCGGGUUGUAAAGCACUUUCAGUGGGGAAGAAAGCCUUGGGGCUAAUACCCUCGAGGAAGGACAUCACCCACAGAAGAAGCACCGGCUAACUCCGUGCCAGCAGCCGCGGUAAUACGGAGGGUGCGAGCGUUAAUCGGAAUUACUGGGCGUAAAGCGCGCGUAGGCGGUCUGAUAAGCCGGUUGUGAAAGCCCCGGGCUCAACCUGGGAACGGCAUCCGGAACUGUCAGGCUAGAGUGCAGGAAAGGAAGGUAGAAUUCCCGGUGUAGCGGUGAAAUGCGUAGAGAUCGGGAGGAAUACCAGUGGCGAAGGCGGCCUUCUGGACUGACACUGACGCUGAGGUGCGAAAGCGUGGGUAGCAAACAGGAUUAGAUACCCGUGUAGUC